AACGAACGCUGGCGGCGCGCCUAAUACAUGCAAGUCGAGCGAGAAGACGUAGCAAUACGUUUGUAAAGCGGCGAACGGGUGAGGAAUACAUGGGUAACCUACCCUCGAGUGGGGAAUAACUAGCCGAAAGGUUAGCUAAUACCGCGUACGCUCCUUGGACUUCGGUUCAGGGAGGAAAGCGAUACCGUGGGUAUCGCGCUCUUGGAUGGGCUCAUGUCCUAUCAGCUUGUUGGGAGGUAACGGCUCACCAAGGCUUCGACGGGUAGCUGGUCUGAGAGGACGAUCAGCCACACUGGCACUGCGACACGGGCCAGACUCCUACGGGAGGCAGCAGUAAGGAAUAUUGCGCAAUGGGCGAAAGCCUGACGCAGCGACGCCGCGUGGGGGAUGAAGGUCUUCGGAUUGUAAACCCCUUUCGGGAGGGAAGAUGGAACGAGCAAUCGUUCGGACGGUACCUCCAGAAGCAGCCACGGCUAACUUCGUGCCAGCCGCCGCUGUAAU
RNAcentral lists this ribosomal RNA (501 nucleotides) under uncultured bacterium. RNAcentral's name for it is "bacterial SSU rRNA". It matches the Rfam family "Bacterial small subunit ribosomal RNA", at positions 29 to 524 of the family's 1533-position model. The record is from RNAcentral.